This 48-nucleotide non-coding RNA is filed under the name Trichobilharzia regenti. Lineage: Eukaryota; Metazoa; Platyhelminthes; Trematoda; Strigeidida; Schistosomatidae. The record is from RNAcentral.
AGUUAGCUGACGAGUCCCAAAUAGGAUGAAAUCUGCGUUAUCCUGGAU